GUGGAUUAGAUACCCUGGUAGUCCACGCCCUAAACGAUGAAUGCUAGUCGUCGGGGUACUCGUUACUUCGGUGAUGCACUUAACAGAUUAAGCAUUCCGCCUGGGGAGUACGGUCGCAAGAUUAAAACUCAAAGGAAUAGACGGGGACCCGCACAAGUGGUGGAGCAUGUGGUUUAAUUCGAAGAUACACGAAGAACCUUACCUGGCCUUGACAUGGUAGGAACCCUUAAGAGAUUAGGGGGUGCUAGCUUGCUAGAACCUACACACAGGUGCUGCACGGCCGUCGCCAACU
RNAcentral lists this ribosomal RNA (292 nucleotides) under uncultured bacterium. Its description in RNAcentral is "partial 16S ribosomal RNA". It matches the Rfam family "Bacterial small subunit ribosomal RNA", at positions 773 to 1060 of the family's 1533-position model. The record is from RNAcentral.